CCCGCUUCCCACUGGCGAGAGGCUGGAGGUGGUGAAGGAGUCGGGGAGCGGAGGCGGGGGGGGUGUCUGCCUUUUAACCCUCCCCAAGAGGUCGUGCCUCUGAGCCCCAAAGCUGAAGGCCCCUCUUGGGGGUGGGUGCGGGCCGGAGGGGCCCGAUCCUUUCAGAGCCGGGCCGAGGUGAAGGAAAAGAAGGAAGUAAGUGAACGCAGGGGGAAGGGGAGAGGAAGAAGAGAUGACGGUACAAAAAUAGCGUGUGUGUAGGAAGGACUUCGGUGCCGCCUGGAAAAGAGGCGCGGGGAGGAGAGGGAGCGAGAAGGGGGCUGUGGCGCGGAACCAGAGGGGAAGGGUCGCGGCCCUUCCCAGGGAGGUGGAAGCCCCCUGGCCAGGUGUCUCGGUGGUGGAGGGCGGAUUGAGGGGGUGGGGAGGCCCAGGCCGGGGCGUGUGUGGGAGAGCGGGGCCCUGAAGGCCUGGGUUCCAGGAGAAGGACAAGCCCUGAGGAAGAUGAGGGGAAGGGGAGCCGGGGCCAGAGGCCUGGAGUUGGAGAGGACAGAACCCCGGUUUUCCUGGAGGGAACGCCGUUCCUGUAGUAGCCAGGCAAGAAGAGCCAUUUGGAGUUAGAGGUCUCAGCUGUGAAGCCAGAACAAUAAAAAUAAAAACAGCGCGGACUCCUGGGCAGCCUGGACCAGGGAACCAACUGCCCCAAGAGUUGCUGCUCACCAGGCUGGAAGAUGAGAAAACUGAGGUCCAGAUAAGCUGAGUCAUCCAAAGUCUCACAGCUACCAUGUGAACUGAGCCAGGAUUUGAACCCAGGCAUUCUGCCUCCAGAGCCCAGGCUGUUAACUGCUACAUUAUGCUGGACACGCUGCACCUGCC
Molecule: long non-coding RNA, 873 nt
Filed under: Pan troglodytes (chimpanzee)
Lineage: Eukaryota; Metazoa; Chordata; Mammalia; Primates; Hominidae
Description: long non-coding RNA NONPTRT009088
Source: RNAcentral